UACAGAGGGUGCGAGCGUUAAUCGGAAUUACUGGGCGUAAAGCGCACGUAGGUGGCGACGUAAGUCGGGUGUGAAAUCCCCGGGCUCAACCCGGGAACUGCGUCCGAGACUGACAGGCUUGAAUCCGGGAGAGGGAUGUGGAAUUCCAGGUGUAGCGGUGAAAUGCGUAGAUAUCUGGAGGAACAUCGGUGGCGAAGGCGGCAUCCUGGACCGGUAUUGACGCUGAGGCGCGAAAGCCAGGGGAGCAAACGGG
This 253-nucleotide ribosomal RNA is filed under the name uncultured bacterium. Its description in RNAcentral is "partial 16S ribosomal RNA". It matches the Rfam family "Bacterial small subunit ribosomal RNA", at positions 524 to 776 of the family's 1533-position model. The record is from RNAcentral.